This is a long non-coding RNA of Gavialis gangeticus (Gharial), 392 nucleotides long. RefSeq lists it as uncharacterized. Lineage: Eukaryota; Metazoa; Chordata; Crocodylia; Gavialidae. The transcript is spliced from 3 exons. The record is from RefSeq and is a predicted model, not a curated record.
UGCAGGAGCAGCAGAGCUGUAAAAGGACUGGAGAAAGAAGCACAGGGAUUAUAGAGGAAGGAAGGGGCAUGGAAGCAGUGUGUGUGAUUGUAACGGGUACAGGAGAUGAAGUUGAGCAUGGGGAUGUUAUUGUAAUGGGGAUGAUGAUGGUUAAUUAUAGAUGCCUGUUCUGGACUGUCAAAUGAAAUGUAUUGGUCAUGAGACAGGACAAUUACAUCACCUCAAGCAACAUUUCCAAGGUCACUGGAAAAAGCUAAGCAUAAGCACCUGUUUAAUAUGCUUAAAAGACAUAUGACUGCAUUGUCUAUUGAUUGAGGAAGUACUUGGGCCACACCUUGAUUAUGCUUGAUCUUCACUACAUCUUCAGUGAACAGUGGCCCCUAGAAUGUAGG